This 101-nucleotide non-coding RNA is filed under the name Caballeronia choica. RNAcentral describes it as "Burkholderia choica Glycine sequence". It matches the Rfam family "Glycine riboswitch aptamer". From Rfam's summary of the family: This family represents the bacterial glycine riboswitch. Glycine riboswitches usually consist of two metabolite-binding aptamers domains with similar structures in tandem. Lineage: Bacteria; Pseudomonadati; Pseudomonadota; Betaproteobacteria; Burkholderiales; Burkholderiaceae. The record is from RNAcentral.
CCGCACGCGUCGGGAGAGCGCGUGGCCGCGGGUUUUCGCGCGCCGCGCCGCCGAAGGGGCACACCCACAAACUCUCAGGCAAAAGGACCGGCCGCGUCGAA